AUUAAAAAAGGAGAUGAAGCUCUCCGUAGUAUAAAAACUAAAACUACAAUUAUAGAUUGUUAAUAGCUUCUGCAGUAUU
RNAcentral lists this non-coding RNA (79 nucleotides) under Sebaldella termitidis. Its description in RNAcentral is "Fluoride sequence". It matches the Rfam family "Fluoride riboswitch aptamer (crcB RNA motif)". RNAcentral also lists the same sequence under 1 other name. The record is from RNAcentral. Lineage: Bacteria; Fusobacteriati; Fusobacteriota; Fusobacteriia; Fusobacteriales; Leptotrichiaceae.